RNAcentral lists this ribosomal RNA (480 nucleotides) under uncultured bacterium. Its description in RNAcentral is "partial 16S ribosomal RNA". It matches the Rfam family "Bacterial small subunit ribosomal RNA", at positions 28 to 523 of the family's 1533-position model. The record is from RNAcentral.
GACGAACGCUGGCGGCGUGCCUAACACAUGCAAGUCGAGCGAAUGAAGUUCUUUCGGGAAUGGAUUUAGCGGCGGACGGGUGAGUAACACGUGGGCAGCCUGCCUCAUAGAGGGGAAUAGCCUUCCGAAAGGGAGAUUAAUACCGCAUAAGAUUGUAGUACCGCAUGAUACAGCAAUUAAAGGAGCAAUCCGCUAUGAGAUGGGCCCGCGGCGCAUUAGCUAGUUGGUGAGGUAACGGCUCACCAAGGCGACGAUGCGUAGCCGACCUGAGAGGGUGAUCGGCCACAUUGGGACUGAGACACGGCCCAGACUCCUACGGGAGGCAGCAGUGGGGAAUAUUGCACAAUGGGGGAAACCCUGAUGCAGCGACGCCGCGUGAGUGAUGACGGCCUUCGGGUUGUAAAGCUCUGUCUUCAGGGACGAUAAUGACGGUACCUGAGGAGGAAGCCACGGCUAACUACGUGCCAGCAGCCGCCGUAA